CUGGUUGAUCCUGCCAGUAGUCAUAUGCUUGUCUUAAAGACUAAGCCAUGCAUGUCUAAGUAUAAGCACUUGUACUGUAAAACUGCGAAUGGCUCAUUAAAUCAGUUAUAAUUUAUUUGAUGGUAAAUACCACUUGGAUAACCGUGGUAAAACUAGAGCUAAUACAUGCGUAAAAACCUAACUAGAAAUGGAAAGGUUGUAUUUAUUAGAUACAAAACCAAUAAAGUAAAGGGGUUAAACUUUUUAUUUUUUUAUUGGUGAUUCAUAGUAAUUAGACUAAUCGUAUAAUCUUGUAUUGACGAUAGUUCAUUCAAAUAUCUGCCCUAUCAACUUUCGAUGGUAGUAUAGAGGACUACCAUGGUGGUAACGGGUAACGGAGAAUCAAGGUUUGAUUCCAGAGAAGGAGCCUGAGAAACGGCUACUACUUCCAAGGAAGGCAGCAGGCGCGCAAAUUACCCAAUCCCAAAACGGGGAGGUAGUGACAAUAAAUAACAAUAUUGGAUUUUAUAAAAAAAUCUAAUAAUUGGAAUGAGUACAAUCUAAACCCCUUAACGAGUAUCAAUUGGAGGGCAAGUCUGGUGCCAGCAGCCGCGGUAAUUCCAGCUCCAAUAGCAUAUAUUAAAGUUGUUGCAGUUAAAAAGCUCGUAGUUGGAUUUAAAAUAGAGAGAAAAAGUAUUAUAUGAAAGUAUAAUUAUUUUUUAUCUUUAUUUCAAUAUACUAAUAAUUCAUUAUUAUUUUUAAUUAAAUAGUAAUUAUUAAUUCUUUACGGGAUUAAUUUAUUUUAAGAAUGUAUUUAUUAAAAUGUGGAUAUUUAUACGAAGCAAUUUGUAUAAAUAUACUGUUUAAUAAAUCUUUUUAAAAUAGAAUUUUAGUACAUUUACUUUGAGUAAAUUAGAGUGUUCAAAGCAAACUUACAAAUUGUAAUGAAUACUAUUAGCAUGGGAUAAUGGAACAAGAUAUUAAUCUUUUAUUUUUUCAUUGGUUUCUAAGAUUAAUUUAAUGAUUAAAAGGGAUAGUUGGGGGCAUUAGUAUUUAAUUGUCAGAGGUGAAAUUCUUGGAUUUAUGAAAGACUAACUUCUGCGAAAGCAUUUGUCAAAGAUGUUUUCAUUAAUCAAGAACGAAAGUUAGGGGAUCGAAGACGAUCAGAUACCGUCGUAGUCUUAACUAUAAACUAUGCCGACCAAGGAUUGAAAGUUGAUAAUAAUUUAAAAAAUUAAAUCUUUUCAGAACUUUAUAAGAAAUUAAAAGUUUUUGGGUUCUGGGGGGAGUAUGGUCGCAAGGCUGAAACUUAAAGGAAUUGACGGAAGGGCACCACCAGGAGUGGAGCCUGCGGCUUAAUUUGACUCAACACGGGAAAACUUACCAGGUCCAGACACAGUUAGGAUUGACAGAUUGAGAGCUCUUUCUUGAUUCUGUGGGUGGUGGUGCAUGGCCGUUCUUAGUUGGUGGAGUGAUUUGUCUGGUUAAUUCCGAUAACGAACGAGACCUCAGUUUAUUAAUUAAAUAAAAAAACAUAAGCGAUAUAAGGGUUAGAUGAGAAUAUAUUGAUAUUUAUAUUAAUAUAUCUUUUUUAAAACUUGUUUAUAUUUAUUUUUAUUUUCUUAAAAAGACACUUGGUGUUUAACCAAGGGAAGUUUGAGGCCAUAACAGGUCUGUGAUGCCCUUUAGAUGUUCUGGGCCGCACGCGCGCUACACUGAUAAAAUCAAUAAGUUUUUUAACAAUAACCUUAAUAGAAAUAUUUGGGUAAACUUUGAAAAUUUUAUCGUGCUGGGGAUUGACAAUUGUAAUUAUUUGUCAUCAACGAGGAAUUCCUAGUAAACGUAAGUCAUCAGCUUACGUUGAUUACGUCCCUGCCCUUUGUACACACCGCCCGCCGCUCCUACCGAUGAAUGGUCCGGUGAAAUCUUAAGAUAAAAAAUUGUUACUUUAAGAUGUAAAUUUUAAAGUUAAUUUUUUAGAAUUUGAGCAAACCUUGCCAUUUAGAGGAAGGAGAAGUCGUAACAAGGUAUCCGUAGGUGAACCUGCGGAGGGAUC
RNAcentral lists this ribosomal RNA (2035 nucleotides) under Korotnevella stella. RNAcentral describes it as "SSU rRNA". It matches the Rfam family "Eukaryotic small subunit ribosomal RNA". Lineage: Eukaryota; Discosea; Flabellinia; Dactylopodida; Paramoebidae. The record is from RNAcentral.